AGACUCUGUGCGCGUGCAUAUCAAUAAGCGGAGGAAAAGAAACUAACAAGGAUUCCCCUAGUAACGGCGAGUGAAGCGGGAAGAGCUCAAAUUUGAAAUCUUAAAGGGUUUCCCUUUACGAAUUGUGGUUUAAAGAAGUGUUUUCUGUUGGAGUUUUGGUAAAAGUUCUUUGGAAUAGGACAUCAUAGAGGGUGAGAAUCCCGUAUUUGAUCACUUUCUACUAACGUUGUGAUACACUUUCAAAGAGUCGGAUUGUUUGGGAAUGCAGUCCAAAAUGGGUGGUAAAUUUCAUCUAAAGCUAAAUAUUGGCGAGAGACCGAUAGCGAACAAGUACCGUGAGGGAAAGAUGAAAAGAACUUUGAAAAGAGAGUUAAACAGUACGUGAAAUUGUCAAAAGGGAAGCGUUUGACACCAGUGUUGUUUUCUCGAAAAUCAAUUAAAAAUGGCCGGAUUUUGUGUUGUAUUGACUAUAUCAGCUUUCUUCACUCUUUUCUUGUCCUUUUUUAAUGCACUUUUCGUUUAACAAGUCAACAUCAGUUUCUUUUGUUGUAAAAGAGUCAUUGGAAGGUGGCUUUCAUUUCGGAUGAAAGUGUUUAUAGCCUUUGAUCUUCUGCAAUCGGAGAGAUUGAGGUCUGCAGCGUAGAUCCUUCGGGGUUAGAUACAGUUUGUGCUAAGUUAUAGUUUUUCAUAGACAACAUGUUGACUAUGAUUAGUCAUGUAGCUUACUCGCUGAUGCUAUUUUACCUACGCUUAGGAUGUUGAACUCUAUCACACACAG
RNAcentral lists this ribosomal RNA (778 nucleotides) under uncultured Neocallimastigales. RNAcentral describes it as "partial large subunit ribosomal RNA". It matches the Rfam family "Eukaryotic large subunit ribosomal RNA", at positions 23 to 621 of the family's 3401-position model. The record is from RNAcentral. Lineage: Eukaryota; Fungi; Neocallimastigomycota; Neocallimastigomycetes; Neocallimastigales.